UCUGCAGCCAAACCCAAAGGUGGCGCCGUGCACUGUGGUGUCAUUUUGUCUGGUUUGCAAACAUGAACUUGGACCUUGUCGCCUUUCUCCGCUACUGCUGUGCUUCUGAAAGUGAAUCCAAGGUCCAACAAGU
Gouania willdenowi (blunt-snouted clingfish) is the source of this 133-nucleotide small nucleolar RNA. Ensembl annotates it as small nucleolar RNA SNORA68. The record is from Ensembl. NCBI's taxonomy places the organism in Eukaryota, Metazoa, Chordata, Actinopteri, Blenniiformes, Gobiesocidae.